AUUGUGAUUUUACUUAACCUAAGUUACCCAUUCAUUUUAAGAGUACGGUAUGAUGAAAUUGACCAACUUUUCCAUUGAAAUGCAUAUUAACUUAGACUGGCAAUACUUUAAUUCUACAUGGUGAUCCAUGCUAAUUUGUCAUCAUUUUGCCUAAACAUAUAAUGUUUUACACUCUGCUUCCAUUUCCUCUAAACAUGGAUGCAUUUAAGUAGGUAGACAAAUUGAUGUUCAAAACAGUAUGUGUUACUGGAAAGAGAAUCAUCUCAACCAAAAACAGGAAGACUUUGCAUUUUGGUAAUUUUCUUGAGAAUCAGAAAACUUAUACCUGAACUCUCUUUCUGUCUGCAGCACCUCUAAUAUUGACUGCCUGGCAAGUGAGGUGGUGAGGCACAUCUAGAACCUAGCAGCUGCCUUCGUGAAUCUUACAUUUCUCAAUGUUUACAAAAGACCCUUCUGGAAGUUUGAUUGAGACUGCAUACAAGUUUGAGAUGGGUGAUCGACGGCCACAACCUGAUGCCUUUGCUUCGGGGACAUGUCCAGCACUCAGAGCAUGAGUUUCUGUUCCACUACUGUGGUGCAUACCUCCACGCUGUGCUCUAGCACCCACUGGACAGUGAGACAGUGUGGAAGGUUCACUAUGUGACACCAGUCUUCCAGCCACCAGGAGAUCAAGCCUGCUAUCAGAGCAUGUUUUGCCAGUGUUCAGGCCAAUGGGUCACCUACCACGACCCUCCUCUGCUCUUUGAGCUCACCAGAGACCCCCUCGGAGUUCACACCCCUAACACACGACGCAGAGCCCUUGAAUGAUACAGUGAUCGAAACAGUGGCCAGCGCCCUAAAGGAGCACAAGAAAACCGUCCUUCUGGUCCAGAAGCAGCCAUCAGAAUUGAAUCGUAACAAUAUAUGGCUGAAGCCUUACUGUGGGGUAUUCCCAUGCUGUCUGUGUGACAAGGAAGGGGGACGCCUUAGUUGAGGGGUCAUGACAAGAAGCCACGGUGGAGAACAGGCAGCCAAAGUCUGCUAAUUUUAGCUCUUUCCCGUUUUCCAGGAAUGCAUUUGAGUGCCAAUAAAUCCAUCUAUCGUUCCUGAUAAUCAAAUGUCUGUUGGAGGUGACGAUCUCCACUAAUUUCUUUUCAAUUCUUGAGGAUAAAUGUUUAUCUCUUUUCCAAGUUUUCAGACAUCUCUUUCAGGGCUAGGACACGUGCACUGACGUCCAUUUGUCCCAGGAGCUCUGUUGCUCUUCAAAGUAAACUCUACUUAUAAAGACCCAUGUACAAACAAGUCAUUGAUCAGGAGAGGCCAAACACGCAGCAUUUAAUAAUAAUGCAUUGAAAGCAUCCAUCCCAAAGUGGUCACUAAGCCAAGGGAAGGAUUUAUUUUUGUCCGCAGUCAAGAUAAAUUGAGUCAAGAGUGGUACAGCUUUGAGCCUAUGGUAGUUUACAUAGCAGCUGGUCGCCUUAUGGUCUGGGAGGCAGUCCAGUCAUUGACGAAACAUUGCCCAGAGCAAGGUGAUCCCGGAGACCAAAAAGAAGUGGGGACCAAACACCUGGGAGGGUCAUCAGCAUCGGCUUUCCCCUGAGGAUGUGCCAGACCUUGAUGGAGUAUCUUAUUUUCCUCUUACUCCCCAUUUAUGCUUAAGUAUAAUUCCUGGCAGUUUCCUAGGGCUGCCUUAACAAAUCACCUCAAAUGCGGUGGCUUAAAACAACAGAGAUUUAUUUUCUCUCAAUUAUGGAGGCCAGCAGCCCCAAAUUCAAGGUAUUGGUAGGGCCAUGCUUCCCCUGAAAUUUUGAUAAGGUCACAUCCACAUUUCCAAAUCAGGUAGCAGGAUUUAGGACAUCAGCAUGUCAUUUGCGGGGUUAGAAUUCAAGCAACUCCUCCCCUAUAUAAUGGAUAAAAUAUCUGGGGCUUGGAAAUGUUCUGUAAUGUGCUCAGGAGAACACAGCUUGUUAAGUUAUUGGACUGAGACUGGCCCCCUGGUCAUACUAACCCCAAACUCCGAUGCACACCUAUCCCAUGAUGCCUUGCAGGCUGUAAUCCCAGGAGGAACACAAUUAUGUGUGUUUGAUCCCUUUUAACAUGACUCUAUUCUUUAUUGUCUAUACUAAGGAGCAAAUGGAGACUAAAAAUCAAAUGCAAAUCACUGUAUUAAUAUUGGAUAUCGAAUAAAGAUUUAUUUGACUCC
Manis pentadactyla (Chinese pangolin) is the source of this 2182-nucleotide long non-coding RNA. RefSeq lists it as uncharacterized. The record is from RefSeq and is a predicted model, not a curated record. The transcript has 4 exons. NCBI's taxonomy places the organism in Eukaryota, Metazoa, Chordata, Mammalia, Pholidota, Manidae.